RNAcentral lists this ribosomal RNA (1356 nucleotides) under uncultured marine eukaryote. RNAcentral's name for it is "SSU rRNA". It matches the Rfam family "Eukaryotic small subunit ribosomal RNA", at positions 411 to 1779 of the family's 1831-position model. The record is from RNAcentral.
CACUUCUAAGGAAGGCAGCAGGCGCGCAAAUUACCCAAUCCUGACUCAGGGAGGUAGUGACAAGAAAUAACAAUAAACCGGCUUAUGCCGGUUUAAUUGGAAUGAGUACAAUUUAAACAUCUUAACGAGGAACAAUUGGAGGGCAAGUCUGGUGCCAGCAGCCGCGGUAAUUCCAGCUCCAAUAGCGUAUACUAAAGUUGUUGCAGUUAAAAAGCUCGUAGUUGGAUUUCUGUGGGGACGGAGCGGCCGGCCGCAACUCGCGGUUCGAGCUAGCGCUUUCCCUACAUCCUGCCGCGAACCGUGCUACCAUUAGUUUGGUGGCGCCGGGGAUCGGCUCGAUUACUUUGAGAAAAAUAGAGUGUUCAAAGCAGGCCACACGCCUUGAAUAAGUUAGCAUGGAAUAAUAACUAAGGACUUCGGUUCUAUUUUGUUGGUGUUCGGGACUGAAGUAAUGAUUGAUAGGGACAGUUGGGGCGGUCUGUAUUCCAAAGCGAGAGGUGAAAUUCUUAGACCUUCGGAAGACAAACAGCUGCGAAAGCGUUCCGCAAGGAUGUUCCCUUUGAUCAAGAACGAAAGUUGGGGGAUCGAAGACGAUCAGAUACCGUCGUAGUCUCAACUAUAAACUAUACCAGCUAGGGAUCGGCCAACGUUAUUUCAAACCGACUUGGUCGGCACCUUAUGAGAAAUCAAAGCAUCUGGGUUCCGGGGGGAGUAUGGUCGCAAGGCUGAAACUUAAAGGAAUUGACGGAAGGGCACCACCAGCCGUGGAGCCUGUGGCUUAAUUUGACUCAACACGGGAAAACCUACCAGGUCCAGACAUAGUAAGGAUUGACAGAUUGAUAGCUCUUUCUUGAUUCUGUGGGUGGUGGUGCAUGGCCGUUCUUAGUUGGUGGAGUGAUUUGUCUGGUUAAUUCCGUUAACGAACGAGACCCCAGCCUGCUAAAUAGCGCGCGUGAGCUUUGCUCGCGGCGAGCUUCUUAGAGGGACUCUGAUGCGCGAUAGCACAUGGAAGUUUGGGGCAAUAACAGGUCUGUGAUGCCCUUAGAUGUUCUGGGCCGCACACGGGCUACACUGGCGCCUGCAUCGAGCAUAUCAGCUGGCCCGAGAGGGUCUUGGCUAAUCUUUUGAACCGGCGCCGUGCUUGGGAUUGACCUUUGCAAUUGUUGGUCAUGCAACGAGGAAUGCCUUGUAAACGCGAGUCAUCAGCUCGCAUUGAAUACGUCCCUGCCCUUUGUACACACCGCCCGUCGCUCCUACCGAUGAAUGUUCCGAUGAAAUUUUCGGAGAGCACCUGUGAACUUGGCUCUGCCUUGCGAACGGGAGGCUCAAAGUCACUUAAAUCUGAACAUUUCGAGG